UGCGGGAUGGAGCAGUCUGGUAGCUCGUCGGGCUCAUAACCCGAAGGUCGUUGGUUCAAAUCCGUUUCUUAAAG
RNAcentral lists this transfer RNA (74 nucleotides) under Acinetobacter baumannii. Its description in RNAcentral is "tRNA-Met". It matches the Rfam family "tRNA". Rfam says of the family: Transfer RNA (tRNA) molecules are approximately 80 nucleotides in length. Their secondary structure includes four short double-helical elements and three loops (D, anti-codon, and T loops). The record is from RNAcentral. Lineage: Bacteria; Pseudomonadati; Pseudomonadota; Gammaproteobacteria; Moraxellales; Moraxellaceae.